This 420-nucleotide ribosomal RNA is filed under the name uncultured bacterium. RNAcentral describes it as "bacterial SSU rRNA". It matches the Rfam family "Bacterial small subunit ribosomal RNA", at positions 356 to 773 of the family's 1533-position model. The record is from RNAcentral.
GAGGAAUAUUGGACAAUGGGCGGAAGCCUGAUCCAGCCAUGCCGCGUGCAGGAAUAAGGUCCUAUGGAUUGUAAACUGCUUUUAUACGAGAAGAAAUAGUGCUACGUGUAGUAUGUUGACGGUAUCGUAUGAAUAAGCACCGGCUAACUCCGUGCCAGCAGCCGCGGUAAUACGGAGGGUGCAAGCGUUAUCCGGAAUCAUUGGGUUUAAAGGGUCCGUAGGCGGUUUAAUAAGUCAGUGGUGAAAUCCAGUCGCUCAACGAUUGAACUGCCAUUGAUACUGUUAGACUUGAAUUAUUGUGAAGUAACUAGAAUAUGUAGUGUAGCGGUGAAAUGCUUAGAUAUUACAUGGAAUACCAAUUGCGAAGGCAGGUUACUAAUGGUAUAUUGACGCUGAUGGACGAAAGCGUGGGUAGCGAAC